Molecule: transfer RNA, 69 nt
Filed under: Notoryctes caurinus
Lineage: Eukaryota; Metazoa; Chordata; Mammalia; Notoryctemorphia; Notoryctidae
Description: partial tRNA-Phe
Rfam family: tRNA
About the family: Transfer RNA (tRNA) molecules are approximately 80 nucleotides in length.
Source: RNAcentral
GUCAAUGUAGCUUAACUUAAAGCGAAGCACUGAAAAUGCCUAGAUGGAUCCUUAGGAAUCCCAUGGACA